GUGAGGAAUAUUGGUCAAUGGGCGGGAGCCUGAACCAGCCAAGUCGCGUGAAGGAAGAAGGAUCUAUGGUUCGUAAACUUCUUUUGCAGGGGAAUAAAGUGCAGGACGUGUCCUGUUUUGUAUGUACCCUGAGAAUAAGGAUCGGCUAACUCCGUGCCAGCAGCCGCGGUAAUACGGAGGAUCCGAGCGUUAUCCGGAUUUAUUGGGUUUAAAGGGUGCGUAGGUGGUUUGAUAAGUCAGCGGUGAAAGUUUGCAGCUUAACUGUAAAAAUGCCGUUGAAACUGUCGGACUUGAGUGUAAAUGAGGUAGGCGGAAUGCGUGGUGUAGCGGUGAAAUGCACAGAUAUCACGCAGAACUCCGAUUGCGAAGGCAGCUUACUAAGCUACAACUGACACUGAAGCACGAAAGCGUGGGGAUCAAACAGGAUUAGAAACCCCUGUAGUCC
Molecule: ribosomal RNA, 445 nt
Filed under: uncultured bacterium
Lineage: Bacteria
Description: partial 16S ribosomal RNA
Rfam family: Bacterial small subunit ribosomal RNA
Source: RNAcentral